GCCUUCGUGGUGUAACAGUAGCACACUCGGUGCGUAUUCAAGAGGUCCAGGUUCGAGUCCUGGCGAGGGCA
This 71-nucleotide transfer RNA is filed under the name Stegodyphus mimosarum. It matches the Rfam family "tRNA". From Rfam's summary of the family: Transfer RNA (tRNA) molecules are approximately 80 nucleotides in length. Lineage: Eukaryota; Metazoa; Arthropoda; Arachnida; Araneae; Eresidae. The record is from Rfam by way of RNAcentral.